CAACCUCUCCGACUCCCGCCAAUCCCAUCCGUCCAUCCAUCUCUUCCCUCCCCUUCCGCGACACAAGAGAAGACCGCGCCGCCGCUCGCCGCCGACUCCACCUCCCCGUCGCGGCGGCAUCGAUCGACCGGAGCCGGAGAAGAAGAAGAAGAAGAUGGUGGCGAUCAGGGCGCCCAAGAGCCACCGCGCCAAGAGGGAGCUCCUCAAGCACGCGCCCAAGCUCGUUGAGACCGGCAAGAAGACGCUUGUUCUCCAUGGGACCAAGACCAGCGCGGUGCUGAACUCCGUGCUCGCAGAUUUGUUCCACCUGAAGCGUGAUAAUGCCGUCAGGUACUCCAAGAAGAAUGAGAACAUCAGGCCGUUCGAGAGCGGCGGCGAAACUUCGCUUGAGUUCUUCUCACUCAAGACGGAUUGCAGCCUAAUUGUAUAUGGUUCUCACUCAAAGAAGAGGCCCAACAAUCUUGUUUUGGGAAGGACUUAUGAUCACCAUAUAUAUGACCUUGUUGAAGUAGGAGUUGAGAACUACAAAUAAAUUGAAUCAUAUGUCUAUGAUAAGAAACUGGCACCUAAGCUUGGCUCAAAGCCUUUCUUUACCUUCAUUGGGGAGCAUUUUGAAAGUGUUGAAGAGCUGAAGCAUUUGAAGGAAGUGCUGCUUGAUCUUUUCAGAGGAGAGGUGGUAGAGAAUCUGAAUCUUGCCGGUGUAGAUCGGGUAUUUGUGUGCACAGCAAUAUCCCCUACCACUGUCUACUUGAUGCACUGUGCUCUCCGUCUGAAACGGUCUGGCACAUCUAUUCCUAGAAUGGAGCUGGUUGAAGUUGGACCUUCGAUGGACCUAGUAGUUAGGCGGCACCGAUAUCCAGCUGAAAGUUUGAAGAAGGAAGCAAUGAAGACUGCCGAUCAUGCUAAGAAGAUGAAAAAUGUCACGAAGGAUCCUGUGCAGGGCAAGUUGGGCAAGGUCUACAUUCCAGACCAGCAGAUUGCAAAGAUGUCUUUAUCAAACGACAUCAAGGGGCUCAAGAGGGAGCGCCGUGAGGCCAAGAAAAACAAGGAGCACACGAAGAAGCAAAAGAUAAACGUUGAGUGAAGAAAGCUGAAGGCUAUUCAUUUUUUGUUGACAAUUGGCCAGGUCAGAUUAAAGGGUUCUGUGGGGUAACUGCUCCAACUCUUGCGUUAACCAUGGGGAAGUCACCUUGCUGUUAGAUUGAGUGGUAUAUUAGUUGAGUACCAUAUAACCAUCCUCUAGUUUUUGCCUUUGUAAUGAAUUCCACAACAAUAUUGAGCAUGCUGGACUUAACAUGAAAUUUUAAUCAGAUAUAUUUUUUUGAGUA
Molecule: non-coding RNA, 1328 nt
Organism: Oryza sativa Japonica Group (Japanese rice)
Lineage: Eukaryota; Viridiplantae; Streptophyta; Magnoliopsida; Poales; Poaceae
Source: RefSeq, a predicted model, not a curated record